AUGUUCUAUUUUUCUUUUUCGUGCGAAUUCCGGACGUUAAAACAUUAAUCAUACGUCCAAUAGGUAACAGGCAAAACAUAGGCUGACAUUGGAUACAGGGAAGACAAUUAAUGUUGACUACUGGAAUUUCGAAAUAAUGGACAUGUUGGAUAUGGCCAAAAUCUCGUCGUCCCAAAUUCAGACUUUUUAGACACAAAUAUCAAAAGGAAUCUGUCGUCGAGAGAGCAUCAUAUCCUAGAAUGAUUCUACUUCAAAAUGUUUUUUGGUCUAAGGAUAGGUUUCCAAGUAAAAGUGGCAUCGCCUUAACUCCGGAAAUUUCACAGGUUUCCUUCUUAGCUCGAUACAUUCAUUCCAUACACCAAGUAUAGUUGAUUUAAUGAUCAUAGUAACUUCUGAACGGACUAUACCAUAACUUAACCUAAAUCACUGAUUCAUGAAACGAGGCCGAGUUCAGUGAACCAUGUCUGAUGGACAUGCAGACCUUCUUAGAAUCCUAAUGGAUAUACCAAAUAUAGUUAUUCUCAUACUGAUAAGUGAGUAUUUCACAUUAAAAACGAUACUUGUUUUAAAGAAGUCACUCCAUGGAAAUGGGAUCACGGACAAUGGACAUAUGACAGAUGGAAACUUCGUAAUUUUAAAUAUCUACAUAAGCACUGUGAGAGUGACAAAAACGACAAACAAUUACACAACAAUCUACAAAACAAAAAAUAGAAAAUUGACUAGGCUAUAUAUGUCUCUGCCAACACGAAUUUGGUUCUUCUGAAUAAUUCCUUGUAAUAGAAGGGCUUAAUUUUACUUCCAAAAUUACAAUUGUACCUACUAGAAAAUUUAAAUAUCGACCACUGGCACAGCAAACCACAGCUCUACCAAAUAAAAUAAAUCAAAGCGCUAUAAGCUCUGAAGGCAUUUAACCAAAAACCAAGGCAAACAGAAUUAUAAAAACUGUGGCAAUGUUGUUCCAACAUUAAACAAUUAUAUAUUGUACAUUUUUGUUUAUCUAAUGAAUUAAUUAUCUCAGAUGGUGCCAUUAAAACAAAAUACAUAUAUGGUUUGGCGAUAUCUGGCCACAGCUUUUAUUCAUAAUAUGAUAGAUUCAUACAAUAUAUAAUAUAUAUAUAUAUAGAUAGAUAGACCAUAGACCAUGUAUAUGUAGAUAGAUCUAUGGUCGGUUACCCGAAGAUAAUAUGGCAACCAGGUAGAUAGAUAGAUAUAUGUGAAGAUAGAUAUAUAUGAAAAUGUAAAGAUGCACCGUGGGAUACACUGGUGCUUUAAAUUUAGAAAACACCGUGGGAUACACAAGUGUAGUCUGUAUUAUCCAAAAACCUAAAAUUUCAUAGUUAACAUUAAGAUUCUAUGCAGCGAAUUCUGCCAUUUACGGGAAUAUAUUUAUGAUGCUCAAAGUUCAAAUAAAAGUCACUUUUCUCAACAGCAAACGAGUUAACAUCAUCAGUCAAAUCUGUAUCACCACUAUCACCGACACAAACCUGAAAAAUAAAUACAAAAGAGCAGUAUCUUGUUCAAUAAAAAGGAGUGGGAGGGCGGGUUUUCAAGUUUACCGCUUACAAAAUUUAAACAGCUUGCUUGCUGCGAUGAAAUUCUAAAAAGGACUAAAUGACGUCACAGAAUAUAACGUCACACAUGUUGGGUAAAUCUAAAACAUGAAACACAAUCCGUGAGUGGCCCCGGCGAUAACUGAAUUUAAGUCUAUUAACUUAAAUUCCAUUAUCUCAGAUGGUGCCAUUAAAACAAAAUACAUAUAUGGUUUGGCGAUAUCUGGCCACAGCUUUUAUUCAUAAUAUGAUAGAUUCAUACAAUAUAUAAUAUAUAUAUAUAUAUAGAUAGAUAGACCAUAGACCAUGUAUAUGUAGAUAGAUCUAUGGUCGGUUACCCGAAGAUAAUAUGGCAACCAGGUAGAUAGAUAGAUAUAUGUGAAGAUAGAUAUAUAUGAAAAUGUAAAGAUGCACCGUGGGAUACACUGGUGCUUUAAAUUUAGAAAACACCGUGGGAUACACAAGUGUAGUCUGUAUUAUCCAAAAACCUAAAAUUUCAUAGUUAACAUUAAGAUUCUAUGCAGCGAAUUCUGCCACAUUGACGGAGGAAAACAGAGACUCUGUCAACCGCCAUAAAAAAGGGCGGUUCGCUGCAAAGCUGUGAACCAGAUAUGAGAUAAC
Molecule: long non-coding RNA, 2171 nt
Filed under: Mytilus galloprovincialis (Mediterranean mussel)
Lineage: Eukaryota; Metazoa; Mollusca; Bivalvia; Mytilida; Mytilidae
Source: RNAcentral